UUCGCAAUGCCCGAAAGGGUGACGAAGCGACGCCGCGUGCGGGAAGAAGGCCUUCGGGUUGUAAACCGCUGUCGGGAGUUAAGAAAUGUAAGGAUGUUAAUAGCAUCUUUGCUUGACUAAGGCUCCGGAGGAAGCCACGGCUAACUCUGUGCCAGCAGCCGCGGUAAUACAGAGGCGGCAAGCGUUGUUCGGAAUUAUUGGGCGUAAAGAGCACGUAGGCGGCCUUGUGAGUCAGUUGUGAAAGCCUUCUGCUUAACGGAAGAACAGCAGCUGAUACUGCAAGGCUAGAGUGCGGAAGGGGAGAGUGGAACUUCUGGUGGAGCGGUGAAAUGCGUAGAUAUCAGAAGGAACACCGGCGGCGAAGGCGACUCUCUGGUCCGUAACUGACGCUGAGUGUGCGAAAGCUAGGGGAGCAAACGGGAUUAGAUACCCCGGUAGUCCUAGCCGUAAAC
Molecule: ribosomal RNA, 452 nt
Filed under: uncultured bacterium
Lineage: Bacteria
Description: bacterial SSU rRNA
Rfam family: Bacterial small subunit ribosomal RNA
Source: RNAcentral